This 361-nucleotide ribosomal RNA is filed under the name uncultured bacterium. Its description in RNAcentral is "bacterial SSU rRNA". It matches the Rfam family "Bacterial small subunit ribosomal RNA", at positions 28 to 385 of the family's 1533-position model. The record is from RNAcentral.
GAUGAACGCUAGCGGCAGGCUUAACACAUGCAAGUCGAGGGGCAGCGCGAUGUAGCAAUACAUUGGCGGCGACCGGCGCACGGGUGCGUAACACGUAUGGAACUUGCCCUGUACUGGGAGAUAGCCCGGAGAAAUCCGGAUUAAUAUCCCAUAAUAUCCCGAGUGGCAUCACUUGGGUGUAAAAGCUCCGGCGGUACAGGAUAGCCAUGCGUCCGAUUAGCUAGUUGGUGAGGUAACGGCUCACCAAGGCUACGAUCGGUAGGGGGCCUGAGAGGGUUAUCCCCCACACUGGUACUGAGACACGGACCAGACUCCUACGGGAGGCAGCAGUGAGGAAUAUUGCGCAAUGGAGGCAACUCUG